This 213-nucleotide ribosomal RNA is filed under the name Trichocoma paradoxa. Its description in RNAcentral is "partial 28S ribosomal RNA". It matches the Rfam family "Eukaryotic large subunit ribosomal RNA", at positions 1 to 209 of the family's 3401-position model. The record is from RNAcentral. Lineage: Eukaryota; Fungi; Ascomycota; Eurotiomycetes; Eurotiales; Trichocomaceae.
GGUUGACCUCGGAUCAGGUAGGGAUACCCGCUGAACUUAAGCAUAUCAAUAAGCGGAGGAAAAGAAACCAACAGGGAUUGCCUCAGUAACGGCGAGUGAAGCGGCAAGAGCUCAAAUUUGAAAUCUGGCCCCGCGGGGGGUCUGAGUUGUAAUUUGGAGAGGAUGCUUCGGGUACGGUCCCCAUCUAAGUGCCCUGGAACGGGCCGUCAUAGA